This is a non-coding RNA of Salmo salar (Atlantic salmon), 54 nucleotides long. NCBI's taxonomy places the organism in Eukaryota, Metazoa, Chordata, Actinopteri, Salmoniformes, Salmonidae. The record is from Rfam.
CGCCAUUGCUCCUGUAUGUCGCUCUGGAUAAGAGUGUCUGCUAAAUGCCUAAAA